GCGCCAUAAGACCUGGUAACUCUUUAAUCUGGGACUAACCCCCAGUUCCUUCUACCA
This 57-nucleotide transfer RNA is filed under the name Hypsiglena sp. 1 DGM-2008. RNAcentral describes it as "tRNA-Ser". The record is from RNAcentral. Lineage: Eukaryota; Metazoa; Chordata; Lepidosauria; Squamata; Dipsadidae.